Molecule: ribosomal RNA, 484 nt
Filed under: uncultured bacterium
Lineage: Bacteria
Description: partial 16S ribosomal RNA
Rfam family: Bacterial small subunit ribosomal RNA
Source: RNAcentral
AUUGAACGCUGGCGGCAGGCCUAACACAUGCAAGUCGAGCGGAUGAAGGGAGCUUGCUCCUGGAUUCAGCGGCGGACGGGUGAGUAAUGGCUAGGAAUCUGGCUGGUAGUGGGGGAUAACGUCCGGUAACGGGCGCUAAUACCGCAUACGUUCUGAGGGAGGAAGGGGGGGAGCUUCGGACCUCACGCUAUCAGAUGAGCCUAGGUCGGAUUGGCUAGUUGGUGGGGUAAAGGCCUACCAAGGCGACGACCCGUAACUGCUCUGAGAGGAUGAUCAGUCACACUGGAACUGAGACACGGUCCAGGCUCCUACGGGAGGCAGCAGUGGGGAAUAUUGGACAUAGGGCGAAAGCCUGAUCCAGCCAUGCCGCGUGUGUGAAGAAGGUCUUCGGAUUGUAAAGCACUUUAAGUUGGGAGGAAGGGCAGUAAGCUAAUACCUUGCUGUGUUGACGGUACCAACAGAAUAAGCACCGGCUAACUUCGUG